GUCAGCACAAAAUGAUGCCGUUUCGACACCUGGGUUCCAAAGACUAAACGGCUCCGUUUUAUUUGUUAUUAAAACUAAAAAAAAAAAUCCAUUUGAAUGGCAAUCUGCCAUUUUCUACAAGAAACUAAACAAAUCCCUAACACCCCCAUUUUUUUUAUCCCUUUUGCUAGGGUUUUGGCCUCAACCUAGGGGCGAUGAUUAAACGUCGCCGCACCACCAUCAAACUUGGUGGCCGACCACGCGCAGAAGGGGAUAGUUCCUACGAUGAGAGGCUAGAGUUUGUUGUAGGCGUGUCCAACUAGAGGACCAACGUGGAGGGCAUGGAGGCGCGGAGAAAGCCGUGCAUGCGAGCUGCGGUGUGAGGGUUUCCAGGACCUCCUAGUGCGUUGGGCCAAGCGGGCCUAUUUUAUUUUGGGCUGUAAUUUUAAUUAUUUUUGGGUCUUAGGGUUUAAUUGUUAGGGUCAUCAGUUGGGUUUAGAGUCUAGGCCAAUUGAUUUGGGUUUUAUUUUGGGUUUCAAUUUGGGUCUCGAGUUUGGGCUAUUGGUUUGUAAUGAUGGACUAUGUACUUUUAUUAUUUUGGUUUUAUUAAUAUUUUUUGUUUUUUAUAA
This is a long non-coding RNA of Gossypium arboreum, 608 nucleotides long. RefSeq lists it as uncharacterized. The transcript is spliced from 2 exons. The record is from RefSeq and is a predicted model, not a curated record. NCBI's taxonomy places the organism in Eukaryota, Viridiplantae, Streptophyta, Magnoliopsida, Malvales, Malvaceae.